RNAcentral lists this ribosomal RNA (324 nucleotides) under uncultured Chloroflexota bacterium. Its description in RNAcentral is "bacterial SSU rRNA". It matches the Rfam family "Bacterial small subunit ribosomal RNA", at positions 28 to 351 of the family's 1533-position model. Lineage: Bacteria; Bacillati; Chloroflexota. The record is from RNAcentral.
GAUAAACGCUGGCGGCGUGCCUAAUACAUGCAAGUCGAACGGAGGUAUGUAGCAAUACGUGCCUUAGUGGCGAAUGGGUGAGUAACGCGUUGGUGACCUGCCCCGAAGAGGGGGAUAACGGUUCGAAAGGGCUGCUAAUACCCCAUGUGGCCGCAAAGGUUAGAGGCUUUGCGAUUAAAGGAGCAAUCCGCUUUGGGAGGGGCCUGCGUCCCAUCAGCUAGUUGGUAGGGUAAUGGCCUACCAAGGCGGCGACGGGUAGGGGGCCUGAGAGGGUGGCCCCCCACAUUGGCACUGACACACGGGCCAAACACCUACGGGAGGCUG